Molecule: ribosomal RNA, 775 nt
Filed under: uncultured Neocallimastigales
Lineage: Eukaryota; Fungi; Neocallimastigomycota; Neocallimastigomycetes; Neocallimastigales
Description: partial large subunit ribosomal RNA
Rfam family: Eukaryotic large subunit ribosomal RNA
Source: RNAcentral
UAUCUCUGUAGAGUCUGCAUAUCAAUAAGCGGAGGAAAAGAAACUAACAAGGAUUCCCUUAGUAACGGCGAGUGAAGCGGGAAGAGCUCAAAUUUGAAAUCUUCAAGGUUUUACCUUGACGAAUUGUAGUUUAAAGAAGUGUUUUCUGUUGAAGUUUUGGUAAAAGUUCUUUGGAAUAGGACAUCAUAGAGGGUGAGAAUCCCGUAUUUGACCAUUAUUUUCAGCUGUGUGAUACACUUUCAAAGAGUCGGAUUGUUUGGGAAUGCAGUCCAAAAUGGGUGGUAAAUUUCAUCUAAAGCUAAAUAUUGGCGAGAGACCGAUAGCGAACAAGUACCGUGAGGGAAAGAUGAAAAGAACUUUGAAAAGAGAGUUAAACAGUACGUGAAAUUGUCAAAAGGGAAGCGUUUGACACCAGUGUUGUUUUCUCGAAAAUCAAUUAAAAAAGGCCGGAUUUUGUGUUGUAUUGACCUUAAAAGCUUUCUUCACUCUUUUCUUGUCUUUUUUAAUGCACUUUUCGUUUAACAAGUCAACAUCAGUUUCUUUUGUUGUAAAAGGGCCAUUGGAAGGUGGCUUUCUUUUCGGAGAAAGUGUUUAUAGCCUUUGGACUUCUGCAAUCGGAGAGAUUGAGGUCUGCAGCGUAGAUCCUUCGGGGUUAGAUGCAUUUGUGCUAAGUUAUAGCCUUUCAUAGACAACUUGUUGACUAUGAUCAGUCAUGUAGCUUACUCGCUUAUGCUAUUUUACCUACGCUUAGGAUGUUGAGUAGCGACAUACGCAC